This 489-nucleotide ribosomal RNA is filed under the name uncultured bacterium. Its description in RNAcentral is "bacterial SSU rRNA". It matches the Rfam family "Bacterial small subunit ribosomal RNA", at positions 28 to 507 of the family's 1533-position model. The record is from RNAcentral.
GAUGAACGCUAGCGGGAGGCUUAACACAUGCAAGUCGAGGGGCAUCACGAGGUAGCAAUACUUUGGUGGCGACCGGCGCACGGGUGAGUAACACGUAUGCAACCUUCCCUGUACAGGGGGAUAACCCGGAGAAAUUCGGACUAAUACCCCAUGAUGAUAUUAUGGGGCAUCCUUUAAUAUUUAAAGCUCUGGCGGUACAGGAUGGGCAUGCGCGACAUUAGCUAGUUGGUAAGGUAACGGCUUACCAAGGCGACGAUGUUUAGGGGACCUGAGAGGGUUGUCCCCCACACUGGUACUGAGACACGGACCAGACUCCUACGGGAGGCAGCAGUGAGGAAUAUUGGUCAAUGGGCGGAAGCCUGAACCAGCCAUGCCGCGUGCAGGAUGACGGCCCUACGGGUUGUAAACUGCUUUUCCCCGGGGCGAAUAACCCCCCUCGCGAGGGGGGGAUGCCGGUACCGGGGGGAAUAAGGAUCGGCUAACUCCGUG